UAUAUUGUCAGAAGCAGACUGUGGAUGGCGCUGUAUAAUUAAAUUAACAUUAUUAUAUUUAUUUAAAUAGUUUUAGUGGUAGUUUGAGAUUAAACCGGUAUAUUAAACAUGGCGGCGGCUCGAUACAGUUGAGAGCCGUUAAAAUUUGAAAAUUUGAAUCUGUUCACGCGCAUGAAGCAGCAGCAGCAGCACGAGCGCUUCAGUAUACAGUAUCCAACAUAACAAACAUCAUCUACUAAUGUCUGUAAAAGUGCCACAUGCAGCAGAUACUGUUGGUGCUGCACAACUCUAGGGUCACGGGUUCAGUCCUUAGCACCAGAUGGAGACUUGCCACAUCGACAGGAAGUGCAACCAUGCUCCAGCUUCUGAGAAAUGGUCAGGUGAUGAGGAGUCUCUCACUCGGUCGUGUCUCAGCACAGGACAAUCAGGAUAAACAAAUCACUGUUGUAAAAUGCAAAUGAAGACAUGAAGCUCACUCUACUUUUGCUGGAGCAUGACUGUGCCCUGUGGACAUAGCCAGGUCCAGAAAGACGUGAUCUGAUGACUUUGGUGUAGAGAAACUCCAGUGACCUGUACACAAUGCUCUUUUAAAUGAAUGAGCACAAAUCUUAACAUAGAAAAUCUCGAGGAAAGUAGUUUAGGCUGUUAUAGCUACAAAAACAUUCUCAAAG
Long non-coding RNA from Trichomycterus rosablanca, 671 nucleotides. RefSeq lists it as uncharacterized. NCBI's taxonomy places the organism in Eukaryota, Metazoa, Chordata, Actinopteri, Siluriformes, Trichomycteridae. The transcript has 6 exons. The record is from RefSeq and is a predicted model, not a curated record.